This 427-nucleotide ribosomal RNA is filed under the name uncultured bacterium. RNAcentral's name for it is "partial 16S ribosomal RNA". It matches the Rfam family "Bacterial small subunit ribosomal RNA", at positions 355 to 774 of the family's 1533-position model. The record is from RNAcentral.
UGGGGAAUAUUGGACAAUGGGCGAAAGCCUGAUCCAGCCAUGCCGCGUGUGUGAAGAAGGUCUUCGGAUUGUAAAGCACUUUAAGUUGGGAGGAAGGGUUGUAGAUUAAUACUCUGCAAUUUUGACGUUACCGACAGAAUAAGCACCGGCUAACUCUGUGCCAGCAGCCGCGGUAAUACAGAGGGUGCAAGCGUUAAUCGGAAUUACUGGGCGUAAAGCGCGCGUAGGUGGUUGGUUAAGUUGGAUGUGAAAGCCCCGGGCUCAACCUGGGAACUGCAUCCAAAACUGGCAAGCUAGAGUACGGUAGAGGGUGGUGGAAUUUCCUGUGUAGCGGUGAAAUGCGUAGAUAUAGGAAGGAACACCAGUGGCGAAGGCGACCACCUGGACUGAUACUGACACUGAGGUGCGAAAGCGUGGGGAGCAAACA